AUCCCAUUACAUAGUGAAAGCUCAUACGGCGAAUUUACGUCCACUGAUACAUAUGCAUAUUCACAUUAUGGUUCUUCUAUUCCAUACAAUCCAUAUCCUUAUGAUGUUUCAGUCUAUAUGCCACAAAUGACUGUUGUCCAUUAUGUCCACGAUCCAGUUGAAUAUGCAGAUUAUCUCUGACAAUACAAUGAGAUAUAUCAGGAAUAUAUGACUUUCUCACAAUACCAGCAAAACUUAUAUCAACAUUGUCAAAUAAAUCUUAUAUCUGUAGAUAACAAUAUGUCAUAUGAUCAAGCGCGACGAAAUAUGUGGAAUUAAGCAGUCAUCUUUAUGUAAAGAUGUAAAUUUAAAUAAUUAUUGUACUUGCGAAUUUUAUUAUUGUAUUUUAAUUUCUAUUCUGCAUCAGGUGUAGUUGUACUUUACUUACAAAA
RNAcentral lists this long non-coding RNA (431 nucleotides) under Ananas comosus (pineapple). Its description in RNAcentral is "long non-coding RNA (ACOM_LNC015210)". Lineage: Eukaryota; Viridiplantae; Streptophyta; Magnoliopsida; Poales; Bromeliaceae. The record is from RNAcentral.